This is a long non-coding RNA of Vespula vulgaris, 715 nucleotides long. RefSeq lists it as uncharacterized. Lineage: Eukaryota; Metazoa; Arthropoda; Insecta; Hymenoptera; Vespidae. The record is from RefSeq and is a predicted model, not a curated record. The transcript has 3 exons.
AGUUGUCUAGUUGAUAUGUUGGCCUUCGUGUGACGCGAAGUUGGUUAGUUUCUUUCUGUCGUGGACGUUUCAAUGUAUCACAUCACUGUGCGUUUUAAAUUUAAAAAAUAGUAUUCGGAAAUUUUAUGAACAGUUAAUAAAAAAAAAAAAGAAAAAUACAAAAGAACAAAAAGGAAACUAGAACGAUGAUGAAUCCAUUUCGACAAGAUUGAUUUUCUUAUGAAUUGAUUAUUUGUAUGACUAUCUGAAUUGAUGGAAAAAAUCUCUAUUAUGAACUCUGCGAGAAGGGGAAAUGAUCUUGUCUAGACAUUUAUAACGCAACAAAAAAAAGUUUUAUGAUAAUGCGUAUAAAGUUGCAUUAAUAAACAACACUGUUUUUUGCUGGAAUGAAUGGUCCGCUGCACCUCGUGCAGUCGUUUCACAAACUCGCGCAAACACGGAAGCUAACGGGGUAGAAUGUUUGAGAGAGUGAAUUUCUCUGGAGAGUAAAUAAGACAAAAGCCGCUGCGUAGGAUGUUUCGUAUCUACUGGAACAACGUUAAAUCGAUCAUUCAGAUAAAAAAAAUCGUAAGUGGUUUCACAGAUUUUCAUCCUUCUUGUUGUUUAUGAUGAUAAUACGAUCUGUAAUCAAAUAAAUAAAGUAAAUGAAGUUUGAGAUAAAAAAAAGAGUUAUCUUUGUAAUCGUUCUUUUUUUUUCUAUUAUAUAAAAUGAAUG